UCUGGCAAUAUUGGCGAGAAGGUCACACCCGUUCCCAUACCGAACACGGAAGUUAAGCUUCUCAGCGCCGAUGGUAGUUGGGGCUUUGCCCCUGUGAGAGUAGGACGUUGCCAGGC
RNAcentral lists this ribosomal RNA (116 nucleotides) under Neobacillus sp. WH10. Lineage: Bacteria; Bacillati; Bacillota; Bacilli; Caryophanales; Bacillaceae. The record is from RNAcentral.